GAUGAACGCUGGCGGCGUGCCUAAUACAUGCAAGUCGAGCGAACAGACGAGGAGCUUGCUCCUCUGACGUUAGCGGCGGACGGGUGAGUAACACGUGGAUAACCUACCUAUAAGACUGGGAUAACUUCGGGAAACCGGAGCUAAUACCGGAUAAUAUAUUGAACCGCAUGGUUCAAUAGUGAAAGACGGUUUUGCUGUCACUUAUAGAUGGAUCCGCGCCGCAUUAGCUAGUUGGUAAGGUAACGGCUUACCAAGGCAACGAUGCGUAGCCGACCUGAGAGGGUGAUCGGCCACACCGGAACUGGGACACGGUCCAGACUCCUACGGGAGGCAGCAGUAGGGAAUCUUCCGCAAUGGGCGAAAGCUUGACGGAGCAACGCCGCGUGAGUAAUGAAGGUCUUCGGAUCGUAAAACUCUGUUAUUAGGGAAGAACAAAUGUGUAAGUAACUAUGCACGUCUUGACGGUACCUAAUCAGAAAGCCACGGCUAACUACGUG
RNAcentral lists this ribosomal RNA (497 nucleotides) under uncultured bacterium. RNAcentral describes it as "partial 16S ribosomal RNA". It matches the Rfam family "Bacterial small subunit ribosomal RNA", at positions 28 to 507 of the family's 1533-position model. The record is from RNAcentral.